CCUACGGGCGGCUGCAGUGGGGGAUAUUGCACAAUGGGGGAAACCCUGAUGCAGCGACGCCGCGUGAGUGAAGAAGUAUUUCGGUAUGUAAAGCUCUAUUAGCAGGGAAGAAAAUGACAGUACCCGACCAAGAAGCCCCGGGUAACUACGGGCCAGCAGCCGCGGUAAUACGGCGGGGGCAAGCGUUAACCGGAUUUAUUGGGUGUAAAGGGGGAGUAGACGGUUAUGUAAGUCUGGAGUGAAAGCGCGGGGCCCAACCCCGGGACUGCUUUGGAAACUGUGUGACUGGAGUACAGGAGGGGCAGGCGGAAUGCCUGGUGUAGCGGUGAAAUGCGUAGAUAUCAGGAGGAACACCGACGGCGAAGGCAGCCUACUGGACUGAAACUGACGUUGAGGCUCGAAAGCGUGGGGAGCAAACAGGAUUAGAUACCCUGGUAGUC
RNAcentral lists this ribosomal RNA (440 nucleotides) under uncultured bacterium. RNAcentral's name for it is "partial 16S ribosomal RNA". It matches the Rfam family "Bacterial small subunit ribosomal RNA", at positions 338 to 795 of the family's 1533-position model. The record is from RNAcentral.